UGUCCAGGGGCGGGAAUCGAACCCACAACCUUCCGCUUACCGGGCAGAUGCCAUGUCCACUAGGCUACCCUGGG
Cordylochernes scorpioides is the source of this 74-nucleotide non-coding RNA. The record is from the annotation of a GenBank genome assembly. NCBI's taxonomy places the organism in Eukaryota, Metazoa, Arthropoda, Arachnida, Pseudoscorpiones, Chernetidae.